RNAcentral lists this ribosomal RNA (255 nucleotides) under uncultured bacterium. RNAcentral's name for it is "partial 16S ribosomal RNA". It matches the Rfam family "Bacterial small subunit ribosomal RNA", at positions 524 to 776 of the family's 1533-position model. The record is from RNAcentral.
UACGUAGGGUGCAAGCGUUAAUCGGAAUUACUGGGCGUAAAGCGUGCGCAGGCGGUUUUGUAAGUCUGUCGUGAAAUCCCCGGGCUCAACCUGGGGAAUUGCGAUGGAGACUGCAAGGCUAGAAUCUGGCAGAGGGGGGUAGAAUUCCACGUGUGAGCAGUGAAAUGCGUAGAGAUGUGGAGGAACACCGAUGGCGAAGGCAGCCCCCUGGGCCUGCACUGACGCUCAUGCACGAAAGCGUGGGGAGCAAACAGG